This is a non-coding RNA of Rattus norvegicus (Norway rat), 1373 nucleotides long. The record is from RefSeq and is a predicted model, not a curated record. NCBI's taxonomy places the organism in Eukaryota, Metazoa, Chordata, Mammalia, Rodentia, Muridae.
UAUGAGGUAAAACUCAUACUAGUCUUAAAUUAUAAUUGUAGCAUAUUAUUCAUGAAUAUCCUCAUACUAUGACAGCUGACCAAACUUGAGGUGAAAACUGUAGAGUUCUAGAACAAAAUAAGAGGGUUCUAUUUACAAAAUAACUAAGGAUGUAACUAUAAAAGAACAGUUCUUGAAAAUGAACAAAAGAGAUAUAAAACAUUUAUUCCAAUAAGAGAAAUGUAUAAAAGCAAAGAAGCCUGGGUCAGUAGAAAAGGUGGAAAACGUUGAACACAUCAUUGGAUCAAGUUUUACUGAUAUCUAAGAACCCAUUUUCAUGGCUGGAUUUCUAAUCCAUUUAUUCAGAAAGAACACCUACAGAAGUGGUUUUCAAUAAUUCUUUGAGUCAAGGAAACCUUAAUAAAAGAAAUAUACCAUAUUGCUGUGUUUAGGAAAACUUUGUAGUUAACGUUUAGGAAACUCUUUAAGACAUAUGAUGAUUAAAAAAGAGAGGUGAAACUAGAGAAUAUUUUAGGGCAGGAUUUUUCAAGGAGGUAAAACUACAGGGUGUUUGUUCUACAGAAAGAUGUAACACUCCAUCCUGCAGCAAAACUUGUUAAGACAUAAAAUAAACAACUCAAAACAACAUCAAGAAGUCCCAGAAACUGAACAGAUCACUAUGCCUCUCCAACUUAAGAAUAUAUAACUGUUGAAAGAGUAAAAACUGUUGAAAGUCACUCCUACACAAGACAAGCUACAGCAAAGACUCUCAGACAAGCCAAGAUAUCUUGAAGAAUCAAAGACUAGCCAAUCAUCCUAAACUUCUGAAAGAGAGAGAGAGAAAUUGGACUGUCUAGAAGAGACAGACUGGUUGAGAUUCCUAGAAGAGACUUAAACCAACUAAGCCAUUGGGAAAGGAUGCUCUCCAACUGGUUGAGCUAGUUUGUUGUGUAGCGUGCUUCAGGCUCAACAUACACAAGCUGAUGUUCAGAGGAUGCCAAGACUGCAUCUCAUGUAAGAUGAUAUCGACUUUGUUGCACUACCAGAAGCUAGGAAAUGCCACGCAUGUAAUAUCUACAAGGGCCUUUACAGGAAUCACAGCUCUGGAGAUAUACGAAUGUCAUACUAGUGUCCUGAGGAAGGUAGAACCUAUGAAUAAUUCACAUUGUUAGGAAACUUUACCUGUAGAAGAAACAGACAGAACAAGCAAACCAAGCAUGUGGGGAAAAAAUGGGUCCUGAUUCAAUGGAACUGCUUUUUUAAAAGGAGACUUCAAGAGCCUGGGGUUGUAAAGAGAUGUGCAACACUGGCUGAGGUUUCUUUAAAAAAAAAAAGCAAAGAAAUUGCACAAAAAUUUGUCAAGCAUUCCAGCAAUAAAUAUGCCCCAGAUGAAA